CAAUAGCGUAUAUUAAAGUUGUUGCAGUUAAAACGCUCGUAGUUGAAUAUCUGCUAUAUGUGGUCGGUCCACUUCGGUGUGAUCCGUUUCACGAAAUAGCAUUCGUUUGCUUUGAUUUAUCAUUGCAAACCGUUUACUUUGAGGAAAUUAGAGUGUUCAAAGCAGGCAAGUGCCUUGAAUACUUCAGCAUGGAAUAAUUGAUAGGACUUCCGUUCUGUCGUUGGUUCUGGGAAUGUGAAGUAAUGAUUAAAAGGGGCGGGCGGGGGCGAUUCGUAUUGAACAGUCAGAGGUGAAAUUCUUAGAUUUGUUUCAAGACGAACUACUGCGAAAGACAUUUGUCCAAGUACGUUUCCCAUUAAAUCAAGAACGAAAGUUAAGGGGAGUCGAAGAUGAUUAGAUACCAU
This 404-nucleotide ribosomal RNA is filed under the name uncultured eukaryote. RNAcentral describes it as "bacterial SSU rRNA". It matches the Rfam family "Eukaryotic small subunit ribosomal RNA", at positions 592 to 1018 of the family's 1831-position model. The record is from RNAcentral.